CUAUACAGGACAUAUGCAAUGACUUGUGCUAUCAAGUGAUCACUUGUUGCACUAUUUCUGAUGCAAGGAAUUACUUGUUCAACCAAAACUUUGAUAUCAUUCUUAUUGAAGCUAAUAUGCCAAGCAAUGAUACUUUUGAUUUUGUUGGACAAAUUACUUCACAUUUUCCUGUCAUCAUGAUGUCUCUUGAUCCCACGCCUUCUUCUGUUAUGGAUUCAAUUACCCAAGGGGCUUGCGCAUUCUGGUCCAAGCCCUUGGAUGAGAACCAAUUUAAGAUAUGUGGCAACAUCUUGUACGGAAGGCUUUGAGCGAAACUCGUGAACUUCCUCAAACCUUGGAGGUUAAAGGCGGAAAAAAAUGAGGAAGUGAAGAUGUUGAUUUACCAAAACAACCGCUUCCAAAGAAAAGUCGUUUGUCAUGGACACCCGACUUGGACAAACUAUUCUUAUCGGCUGUGAAUCAACUUGGGGUUAAUAGUAUUAAUGCAACACCCAAAAAAAUUCUUAAGCUGAUGAACUUUCCCGAUUUGACAACAGGGCAAGUAGCUAGCCAUUUACAGAAAUAUAGGAAGUAUUUAAAAGGGGAAAU
Molecule: long non-coding RNA, 588 nt
Organism: Trifolium pratense (red clover)
Lineage: Eukaryota; Viridiplantae; Streptophyta; Magnoliopsida; Fabales; Fabaceae
Exons: 5
Source: RefSeq, a predicted model, not a curated record